AAGGGAGACCUAAUUCAGGUAUGGGACGAAAAAAAAGUAGUCGCUACCAAGAAUCAAUCCCAAAAGGUCGGAGCGAGGUAUGAGGCCUUCAAACUAGGUUCUGGGUUCAAACAAGACCUGAAUCAGGAACAAGGGCUAUUAGCUCAGGUGGUUAGAGCGCACCCCUGAUAAGGGUGAGGUCCCUGGUUCGAGUCCAGGAUGGCCCACCUGCACAGGUGGCAAAAACAAGAGAAGCUCCGAAUCAGCACCUUAUCUUAUCUAUAUAUAAGAGAGAAUGCUGGCUCUGAGUACAGAGUCCAGAGGAACCUUGAAAACUGCAUAGAGCUAGGUGAAAAAGCCAAAAAAGAAGACCGCAA
RNAcentral lists this transfer RNA (356 nucleotides) under uncultured Microcystis sp. RNAcentral's name for it is "partial 16S-23S ribosomal RNA intergenic spacer". The stretch from base 133 to 206 matches the Rfam family "tRNA". The record is from RNAcentral. Lineage: Bacteria; Bacillati; Cyanobacteriota; Cyanophyceae; Chroococcales; Microcystaceae.